RNAcentral lists this ribosomal RNA (714 nucleotides) under uncultured bacterium. RNAcentral's name for it is "bacterial SSU rRNA". It matches the Rfam family "Bacterial small subunit ribosomal RNA", at positions 789 to 1501 of the family's 1533-position model. The record is from RNAcentral.
GGUAGUCCACGCCGUAAACGAUGAUAACUAGCUGUCCGGGGACUUGGUCCUUGGGUGGCGCAGCUAACGCAUUAAGUUAUCCGCCUGGGGAGUACGGCCGCAAGGUUAAAACUCAAAUGAAUUGACGGGGGCCUGCACAAGCGGUGGAGCAUGUGGUUUAAUUCGAAGCAACGGGAAGAACCUUACCAGCGUUUGACAUGCCUGGACCGCCAGAGAGAUCUGGUUUUCUCUUCGGAGACUAGGACACAGGUGCUGCAUGGUUGUCGUCAGCUCGUGUCGUGAGAUGUUGGGUUAAGUCCCGCAACGAGCGCAACCCUCGCCCUUAGUUGCCAGCAUUCAGUUGGGCACUCUAAGGGGACUGCCGGUGAUAAGCCGAGAGGAAGGUGGGGAUGACGUCAAGUCCUCAUGGCCCUUACGGGCUGGGCUACACACGUGCUACAAUGGUGGUGACAGUGGGCAGCGAAGGAGCGAUCCCGAGCUAAUCUCCAAAAGCCAUCUCAGUUCGGAUUGCACUCUGCAACUCGAGUGCAUGAAGUUGGAAUCGCUAGUAAUCGCGGAUCAGCACGCCGCGGUGAAUACGUUCCCGGGCCUUGUACACACCGCCCGUCACACCAUGGGAGUUGGUUUUACCCGAAGGCGGCUGCGCUAACCCGCAAGGGAGGCAGGCGACCACGGUAGGGUCAGCGACUGGGGUGAAGUCGUAACAAGGUAACC